RNAcentral lists this microRNA precursor (183 nucleotides) under Oryza rufipogon (brownbeard rice). Its description in RNAcentral is "MIR812 microRNA precursor family". It matches the Rfam family "MIR812 microRNA precursor family". The record is from Rfam by way of RNAcentral. Lineage: Eukaryota; Viridiplantae; Streptophyta; Magnoliopsida; Poales; Poaceae.
AAAAAGUCAAACAUUAUGUUUUCGUAUCCAACUUUGACUGUCCGUUUUAUAUAAUUUUUUUUUAUAAUUCGUAUUUUAUUGUUGUUAGAUGAUAAAACAUGAUUAAUACUUUGUGCGUGACUUGUCUUUUUAAAUUUUUUUAUAAUAUUUUUAAAUAAAAUAGACGCUUAACGGAAACUAGGG